Molecule: long non-coding RNA, 242 nt
Filed under: Brassica rapa (field mustard)
Lineage: Eukaryota; Viridiplantae; Streptophyta; Magnoliopsida; Brassicales; Brassicaceae
Description: long non-coding RNA (BRAP_LNC008331)
Source: RNAcentral
UUUCCUCUUCAACUCCUUAGCUCUUCAUACAUAUACUAAGCUAAACUCAACACUCCCCCUCAAGCUUAGCUUUGUGAAAGCCUAAGCUUGGAAAGCUACAAGAUCUUCCUCAUUAAAAACCUCACCAAAGAAAACCCAAUGGGAUAAAACUUUGAUGAGGGAAAAAGAGUAAAGACCUUGCAGCUAAGGGGAUUAGCUUCUUCUCUUCCCAAGAUCUAUGAGUCCCAAUCUGAUGUGAAUGG